GUGGGGAAUAUUGGACAAUGGGCGAAAGCCUGAUCCAGCCAUGCCGCGUGUGUGAAGAAGGUCUUCGGAUUGUAAAGCACUUUAAGUUGGGAGGAAGGGUUGUAGAUUAAUACUCUGCAAUUUUGACGUUACCGACAGAAUAAGCACCGGCUAACUCUGUGCCAGCAGCCGCGGUAAUACAGAGGGUGCAAGCGUUAAUCGGAAUUACUGGGCGUAAAGCGCGCGUAGGUGGUUUGUUAAGUUGGAUGUGAAAUCCCCGGGCUCAACCUGGGAACUGCAUUCAAAACUGACUGACUAGAGUAUGGUAGAGGGUGGUGGAAUUUCCUGUGUAGCGGUGAAAUGGGUAGAAAUUGGGAGGAACACCGGUGGGGAAGGCGGCCCCCUGGCCCAAUACUGACAUUGAGGUGGGAAAGCGUGGGGAGCAAACAGGAUUAGAUACCCUGGUAGUCCACCCCGUAAACGAUUUCAACUAGCCGUUGGAAGCCUUGAGCUUUUAGUGGCGCAGCUAACGCAUUAAGUUGACCGC
RNAcentral lists this ribosomal RNA (526 nucleotides) under uncultured Pseudomonas sp. Its description in RNAcentral is "bacterial SSU rRNA". It matches the Rfam family "Bacterial small subunit ribosomal RNA", at positions 354 to 872 of the family's 1533-position model. Lineage: Bacteria; Pseudomonadati; Pseudomonadota; Gammaproteobacteria; Pseudomonadales; Pseudomonadaceae. The record is from RNAcentral.